This 275-nucleotide ribosomal RNA is filed under the name uncultured bacterium. RNAcentral's name for it is "partial 16S ribosomal RNA". It matches the Rfam family "Bacterial small subunit ribosomal RNA", at positions 523 to 796 of the family's 1533-position model. The record is from RNAcentral.
AUACGUAGGUGCCAAACGUUGUCCGGAUCUAUUGGGCGUAAAGGGCUCGUAGGCGGUUUAACAAGUCGGUCGUGAAAGCCCGGGGCUCAACCCCGGGACGCCGGUCGAAACUGUUAUGACUAGGGUCCGGUAGAGGUGAGUGGAAUUCUCGGUGUAGCGGUGGAAUGCGCAGAUAUCGAGAGGAACACCAGUAGCGAAGGCGGCUCACUGGGCCGGUACCGACGCUGAGGAGCGAAAGCAUGGGGAGCAAACAGGAUUAGAUACCCUAGUAGUCC